Molecule: long non-coding RNA, 611 nt
Filed under: Homo sapiens (human)
Lineage: Eukaryota; Metazoa; Chordata; Mammalia; Primates; Hominidae
Description: HSALNT0162701
Source: RNAcentral
AGAUGGUAAGGUUGAAGUUACAAAAGAAGGUGUGAAGUUGUGUACCAUGGGUCCAGGAAAAGUGUUUGGGGAAUUGGCUAUUCUUUACAACUGUACCCGGACAGCGACCGUCAAGAACACUGUGAAUCUAAUUCAACAAGAAGAAACUAGAUGUUGAAUGCAAAUUAUAAGCCUAACUCUUUUGGGGUCAGAACAUCCAUCUUCAAAGAAAAUGAGUAAUGGGACAUGUUCUUCUUUAACACAGACUCAGAGAAAGCUCAAGAAUGCAUCCGUGCAUGUGUGUGUGUUUGUUUCUUCACAGUGCCUACUUAAGAUAUAAAAGUUGUGUUGACAAAAGAGCCUAGAGUUGGUGAUGUGCAAAUAUAUAUCUGCAUUUAUAGGUACAGAGGUUUUGUGCAUGAAUCAGAAACAAUAUCUGUGCGCAACUGUUUCUUCCAAAUGUUUCAUAAGCACUAUGAAGCAUGAAUAAUGUUUGUUUAUUGUUUCAGGACUUUUUUGUCCUGCCACCUCUGCUAUCUAGGGAGAUUGUACUUGUGACUGUAGGCCUCAAGCACCAUUUUUUUCUAUAUAUUUAAAUUAAACCUUCAGGCUGGAUAUGUUAUGAUUCUAAU